AUCCAGACGACGAGUCCCAAAUAGGACAAAAUGCGCGCGGAUCCUGGAU
RNAcentral lists this non-coding RNA (49 nucleotides) under Trichobilharzia regenti. The record is from RNAcentral. Lineage: Eukaryota; Metazoa; Platyhelminthes; Trematoda; Strigeidida; Schistosomatidae.